AGUGAACGCUGGCGGUAGACCUAACACAUGCAAGUCGAACGGCAGCACAGUAAGAGCUUGCUCUUACGGGUGGCGAGUGGCGGACGGGUGAGGAAUACAUCGGAAUCUACUUUUUCGUGGGGGAUAACGUAGGGAAACUUUCGCUAAUACCGCAUACGACCUACGGGUGAAAGCAGGGGAUCUUCGGACCUUGCGCGAUUGAAUGAGCCGAUGUCGGAUUAGCUAGUUGGCGGGGUAAAGGCCCACCAAGGCGACGAUCCGUAGCUGGUCUGAGAGGAUGAUCAGCCACACUGGAACUGAGACACGGUCCAGACUCCUACGGGAGGCAGCAGUGGGGAAUAUUGGACAAUGGGCGCAAGCCUGAUCCAGCCAUACCGCGUGGGUGAAGAAGGCCUUCGGGUUGUAAAGCCCUUUUGUUGGGAAAGAAAAGCAGCAGGUUAAUACCCCGCUGUUCUGACGGUACCCAAAGAAUAAGCACCGGCUAACUUCGUG
This 492-nucleotide ribosomal RNA is filed under the name uncultured bacterium. RNAcentral describes it as "partial 16S ribosomal RNA". It matches the Rfam family "Bacterial small subunit ribosomal RNA", at positions 29 to 507 of the family's 1533-position model. The record is from RNAcentral.